Molecule: ribosomal RNA, 468 nt
Filed under: uncultured bacterium
Lineage: Bacteria
Description: partial 16S ribosomal RNA
Rfam family: Bacterial small subunit ribosomal RNA
Source: RNAcentral
GACGAACGCUGGCGGCGUGCUUAACACAUGCAAGUCGAACGGUGAUGCUCCAGCUUGCUGGAGUGGAUCAGUGGCGAACGGAUGAGUAACACGUGAGCAACCUGCCCCAGACUCUGGAAUAAGCGCUGGAAACGGCGUCUAAUACUGGAUACGAAACUGGCCCGCAUGGGCAUGGUUUGGAAAGUUUUUCGGGUUGGGAUGGGCUCGCGGCCUAUCAGCUUGUUGGUGAGGUAAUGGCUCACCAAGGCGACGACGGGUAGCCGGCCUGAGAGGGCGACCGGCCACACUGGGACUGAGACACGGCCCAGACUCCUACGGGAGGCAGCAGUGGGGAAUAUUGCACAAUGGGCGAAAGCCUGAUGCAGCGACGCCGCGUGGGGGAUGACGGCCUUCGGGUUGUAAACCUCUUUCAGCAGGGAAGAAGCGAAAGUGACGGUACCUGCAGAAGAAGCACCGGCUAACUACGUG